This 1852-nucleotide long non-coding RNA is filed under the name Arabidopsis thaliana (thale cress). RNAcentral's name for it is "potential natural antisense gene, locus overlaps with AT3G52070 (AT3G52072)". The record is from RNAcentral. Lineage: Eukaryota; Viridiplantae; Streptophyta; Magnoliopsida; Brassicales; Brassicaceae.
UUGAAGUCCUUUUUUGAUAUUUUACCAAAAUCAUCAGAUCUCUCGAUGGUCGUGAGUGACUUCGAAGACGACGACGACGAGUCACACUUCCCCUGAGCUUCUCGCUUCUCAUACUCUUUCAAAUUCUGGGGCCAAUGAUUUAAACAGACAUUGAUUUUGGAACUCCGUGGUUCAAUGCACGGCCAAGUUUAUUAGAAACACUUUGGUUUGCUGGAGCUGAAACCGAAUCAGUCAAGGAUGGUGAGUUCCAUUUUUGCAUUGUGAGCCUUCUCAAAAUGGUAGGUAGUCUUACCUACCUAAAGUUGAUAGUAAAGCUGAGGUCUUAAAUCUUGCGUUUCAUGUGAACCUAAUGAAAAAGAAUAUUUGGGAGGAAAGAAAUUGAGUUUUCCUUUCUUUCUUUUGUUGCUUUAAAGCUGAUUCAUGCAUGUUUAUGUUAGUAUACAGAGCUUUAAACAAGAUUAAAAACUAAGGAGUGAAAUGUCCUCUAUGAACAGAGAUACAAGUAAUGGCCGGUUUAGCUAUUGGUGUUUCCAGCAUCAAGUCUGGUGAACGUGCGCUCUUGCAUGUUUGCUGGGAAUUUAGCAUAUAGGAGAGAUGGAAACUCUUCUUUUUCCCAAUGUUCCAUCUAUAGCGGAAUUGUUAGAUGACGCUGAAGUUGUUGGAUUUGAUGAAACAAAGGAGGAACGUUUUUUCUUUAAGAUCAUUUGCUGAUUCUUGUUUCCUUACCUGAACACUCCACAACCAAGCUUUUAUCCCAAGCUCUUUGCUUAUAGCUGACUUAGAGGUUGGAUUGUACAGGGAAAAGCUCGCAGUGAUAUGACUAUGGAGGAAAGGUUUGGUGCAGCACACAGAAGGAAAAUGGAUGGGGCUCUCUGUUUAAGGAGGAUAAAUUGGAGGAGGCCAAUACGAAAUGGUUAGGAAUCUCUCUUUCUUUCUAACAAUUACGGUCAAAGUUUUGGUUUUCAAGGCAUACUCAGCGACUCUGCCCGAGGCUCUUGCAUCUCCUUUCGGCUCUAAAACAAAGAGCCUUAACUGGUUGAUAGUGUUAUCGCAAUGGUUGGUUUGCCUUUUCUGCCGGAGUUAAAGCAGAUAAAGAGGUAUGAGAAGCUUAACAAUUCAAUUAUAUAAGACCAAAGUGAAAGAUCACAACUCUCAAUUCUCCUAUGUCGGAAUUGAAUUUCUUAUCUUAUUACUGAUUUGUGCAGAAUUUACAAGGAGGAGCUAGCUUAGCUACUACCAUGAAGAUUUGGGGAAGCUGAGAUGUUGCCAGGAGAAGUAAGCACAAACCAAUAGUUGAGAGAUAUAAACAUAAACAGCAAAAGAGAGACUCAUAAGCAUCAGGUCCUUGACGUCUCCUUUCUUCUUCUCUGGCUUCAGAUUCUUCCCAAUCUUCCCAGCCUCUGAAAUCAUCCUUCUCAAUGUUCUCUGGAUCACUCCUUCAUUCUCUUCUGGUAAUUUCUGCUUCCGACAAGACAUCACUCUCAUAGAUCUAACUCCGUGUCUGCUUGAGGCUUGUCUCUUUGUACGGUGGUUAGUGCAGAGUGGGUGGUAGUAGAAGGUGGUGGAGAGAGCCGCCAUGAGAAGAUGAAUAGAAUAAUUGAAGAAAGUUUUUUGUUUUGGGAAUCAAAAGUGAGCAGGAAAAUAUCAGAAUCUUGAUAGCUUAACGACAAAAAUGAUUUGAAAAAUGGGUGGAUAGAUCUCAUCUAACACACACACAUGUAGUCACAAGGUACACGCCAAUGCAAAACCAAAUUGGCCGAAUUUCUAUUCGGUUCGUUUCAACUAAUUCGGUUUGUUUCGAUUUCUAAACCGAAAACCCAAAUUUUUUGAUCCAAACCGAUUCUGAAUGGCC